GGACUGAGAGGUUGAACAGCCACAUUGGGACUGAGACACGGCCCAAACUCCUACGGGAGGCAGCAGUAGGGAAUUUUCGGCAAUGGAGGAAACUCUGACCGAGCAACGCCGCGUGAACGAUGAAGUAUUUCGGUAUGUAAAGUUCUUUUAUUGAAGAAGAAAAAAUAGUGGAAAAACUAUCUUGACGAUAUUCAAUGAAUAAGCCCCGGCAAACUAUGUGCCAGCAGCCGCGGUAAUACAUAGGGGGCGAGCGUUAUCCGGAAUUAUUGGGCGUAAAGGGUGCGUAGGCGGUUUGGUAAGUCUAUAGUUUAAUUUCAGUGCUUAACACUGUUCUGCUAUAGAAACUAUCAGACUAGAGUGAGAUAGAGGCAAGUGGAAUUCCAUGUGUAGCGGUAAAAUGCGUAAAUAUAUGGAGGAACACCAGAGGCGUAGGCGGCUUGCUGGGUCUUUACUGACGCUGAGGCACGAAAGCGUGGGGAGCAAACAGGAUUAGAUACCCUGGUAGUCCACGCCGUAAACGAUGAGUACUAAGUGUCGGGGAAACUCGGUACUGAAGUUAACACAUUAAGUACUCCGCCUGAGUAGUACGUACGCAAGUAUGAAACUUAAAGGAAUUGACGGGACUCCGCACAAGCGGUGGAUCAUGUUGUUUAAUUCGAAGAUACACGAAAAACCUUACCAGGUCUUGACAUACUCUGCAAAGCUAUAGCAAUAUAGUGGAGGUUAUCAGGGAUACAGGUGGUGCAUGGUUGUCGUCAGCUCGUGUCGUGAGAUGUUAGGUUAAGUCCUAAAACGAGCGCAACCCUUGUCACUAGUUGCCAGCAUGUUAUGAUGGGCACUUUAGUGAGACUGCCAAUGAAAAAUUGGAGGAAGGUGAGGAUCACGUCAA
This 889-nucleotide ribosomal RNA is filed under the name 'Cynodon dactylon' phytoplasma. RNAcentral's name for it is "bacterial SSU rRNA". It matches the Rfam family "Bacterial small subunit ribosomal RNA", at positions 289 to 1188 of the family's 1533-position model. Lineage: Bacteria; Bacillati; Mycoplasmatota; Mollicutes; Acholeplasmatales; Acholeplasmataceae. The record is from RNAcentral.